GACGAACGCUGGCGGCGUGCUUAACACAUGCAAGUCGAACGGAAAGGCCCUGCUUUUGUGGGGUGCUCGAGUGGCGAACGGGUGAGUAACACGUGAGUAACCUGCCCUUGACUUUGGGAUAACUUCAGGAAACUGGGGCUAAUACCGGGUAGGAGCUCCUGCUGCAUGGUGGGGGUUGGAAAGUUUCGGCGGUUGGGGAUGGACUCGCGGCUUAUCAGCUUGUGGGUGGGGUAGUGGCUUACCAAGGCUUUGACGGGUAGCCGGCCUGAGAGGGUGACCGGCCACAUUGGGACUGAGAUACGGCCCAGACUCCUACGGGAGGCAGCAGUGGGGAAUAUUGCACAAUGGGCGGAAGCCUGAUGCAGCAACGCCGCGUGCGGGAUGACGGCCUUCGGGUUGUAAACCGCUUUCGCCUGUGACGAAGCGUGAGUGACGGUAAUGGGUAAAGAAGCACCGGCUAACUACGUG
This 468-nucleotide ribosomal RNA is filed under the name uncultured bacterium. RNAcentral's name for it is "partial 16S ribosomal RNA". It matches the Rfam family "Bacterial small subunit ribosomal RNA", at positions 28 to 507 of the family's 1533-position model. The record is from RNAcentral.